Molecule: long non-coding RNA, 158 nt
Organism: Panthera uncia (snow leopard)
Lineage: Eukaryota; Metazoa; Chordata; Mammalia; Carnivora; Felidae
Exons: 2
Source: RefSeq, a predicted model, not a curated record
CUCCGCAAACCUGACGGUGAAACACACAGGGCUUUCUGGAGACCGUCACCGAGGGCCAGGGCUUACACGCUCAUUCGACUUCCUAACGCAGAGUGGGACGACAUCCACGCCGACGGGUGCUGUGGGGACGAGAGGAAACAACCACGUAAAAAGCAAAA